RNAcentral lists this ribosomal RNA (458 nucleotides) under uncultured bacterium. RNAcentral's name for it is "partial 16S ribosomal RNA". It matches the Rfam family "Bacterial small subunit ribosomal RNA", at positions 338 to 795 of the family's 1533-position model. The record is from RNAcentral.
CCUACGGGAGGCAGCAGUGAGGAAUAUUGGUCAAUGGGCGAGAGCCUGAACCAGCCAAGUCGCGUGAGGGAGUACUGCCCUAUGGGUUGUAAACCUCUUUUGUCGGGGAGCAAAAGCCGGACGUGUCCGGCUGUGAGAGUACCCGAAGAAAAAGCAUCGGCGAACUCCGUGCCAGCAGCCGCGGUAAUACGGGGGGUGCGAGCGUUAACCGGAGUUACUGGGGUUAAAGGGGGCGCAGGCGGAUGUUUAAGUCAGCGGUCGAAUUGCGGGGCUCAACCCCAUCCAGCCGUUGAAACUGGGGACCUUGAGUGUGCGAGAAGUAUGCGGAAUGCGUGGUGUAGCGGUGAAAUGCAUAGAUAUCACGCAGAACUCCGAUUGCGAAGGCAGCAUACCGGCGCGCAACGGACGCUCAUGCACUAAAGCGUGGGUAUCGAACAGGAUUAGAUACACCUGUAGUC